RNAcentral lists this ribosomal RNA (517 nucleotides) under uncultured bacterium. Its description in RNAcentral is "partial 16S ribosomal RNA". It matches the Rfam family "Bacterial small subunit ribosomal RNA", at positions 899 to 1397 of the family's 1533-position model. The record is from RNAcentral.
ACUCAAAUGAAUUGACGGGGACUCGCACAAGCAGAGGAUCAUGUGGUUUAAUUCGACGGUAAACGAAGAACCUUACCAGGGUUUGAAACUUGGUUGAAUAUUUUUGGAAACUUAAAUAGUCGCAAGACAGCUAAGCAGGUGAUGCAUGGCCGUCGUCAGUUCGUGGUUUGAAUUGUUCCCUUAAGUGGGGUAACGAACGCAACCCUCGUUGUCUGUUAUAUAUGUCAGACGAGACUGCCCCCGCAUUAGUAAAUAAACGAAAGUUUGUUUGUUAAUGCGGGGGAGGAAGGCGAGGAUGACGCCAGGUCAGCAUGUCCCUUUGAUACCCUGGGCUACACACGUGAUACAAUGGAUAUUACAACAGGAUGCGACGAAGUAAUUCUGAGCUAAUCCUUUAAAGAUAUCCUAAGUUCGGAUUGAAGUCUGCAACUCGACUUCAUGAAGCUGGAUUUGCUAGUAAUCACAGGUCAGCCAUACUGUGGUGAAUACGUUCUCGAGUCUUGUACACACCGCCCGU